RNAcentral lists this non-coding RNA (29 nucleotides) under Mus musculus (house mouse). Lineage: Eukaryota; Metazoa; Chordata; Mammalia; Rodentia; Muridae. The record is from RNAcentral.
UCUGUGUGUCUUGAUGAGUUUGCUGAAGC